GGGCGAUCUGACUUUGACAUCUGUGACCCUGUUGAUUGCCAGAGUUGAUUUGCCUGAUCUGGCUGUCUAGGCAGGUGUCCCCUGCUCCAUGUGUGUCCCUCCUAAAGCUGCAUGCUUGGUUGAAAAGGGCCACCUUCCUGAUAGAGGAGGACCAUUUUCUGGUCAAAAGUAUACAAGUAGCUGUGCUUCCCUGCCAGAACCUCUAAAGAGACUCUCAGGGUCCAUUUUCAGGAGAACAUGGGGGUAGUUAAACUUCUAAGACUCUGGAUACAUCCAAAUGAGGUGCUGCAUGUGGCAGUCUGCUUAAA
RNAcentral lists this small nuclear RNA (308 nucleotides) under Panthera tigris altaica (Amur tiger). RNAcentral describes it as "7SK RNA (ENSPTIG00000001734.1)". It matches the Rfam family "7SK RNA". Rfam says of the family: 7SK was discovered as an abundant small nuclear RNA in the mid-70s but a possible function has only recently been suggested. The record is from RNAcentral. Lineage: Eukaryota; Metazoa; Chordata; Mammalia; Carnivora; Felidae.